RNAcentral lists this ribosomal RNA (253 nucleotides) under uncultured bacterium. RNAcentral describes it as "partial 16S ribosomal RNA". It matches the Rfam family "Bacterial small subunit ribosomal RNA", at positions 524 to 776 of the family's 1533-position model. The record is from RNAcentral.
UACGGGGGGGGCAAGCGUUGUUCGGAAUUACUGGGCGUAAAGGGCUCGUAGGCGGCCAACUAAGUCAGACGUGAAAUCCCUCGGCUUAACCGGGGAACUGCGUCUGAUACUGGAUGGCUUGAGUUCGGGAGAGGGAUGUGGAAUUCCCGGUGUAGCGGUGAAAUGCGUAGAUAUCGGGAGGAACAUCAGUGGCGAAGGCGGCUGCCUGGCCCAAUACUGACACUCAGGUGCGACAGCGUGGGGAGCAAACAGG